GUCCACACCGUAAACGUUGGGCGCUAGGUGUGGGGCCUAUUCCAUGGGUUCCGUGCCGCAGCUAACGCAUUAAGCGCCCCGCCUGGGGAGUACGGCCGCAAGGCUAAAACUCAAAGGAAUUGACGGGGGCCCGCACAAGCGGCGGAGCAUGCGGAUUAAUUCGAUGCAACGCGAAGAACCUUACCUGGGUUUGACAUAUACCCUGCCGCUUCAGAGAUGAGGCUUCUUUUGGGGGUAUACAGGUGGUGCAUGGCUGUCGU
Molecule: ribosomal RNA, 260 nt
Filed under: uncultured bacterium
Lineage: Bacteria
Description: partial 16S ribosomal RNA
Rfam family: Bacterial small subunit ribosomal RNA
Source: RNAcentral